UGUUUUAAGUGGAUGAUUAGUCUUUUUCUAAGUUACCUUUCUUUCAAAAGUUAUAUACAUUUUUCAAUUGUUUUGCUUGUGGUAUAAAAAUAUAUAUUGACGAUCUAUAAAAUAUGCUCAUCAUGUUUUAUUAAAAACCGGCUCCGACCGGCUCCAGACAAUUUCGGAACCUCCUCCAUUCCAACCCAACGGAGCCGGCUCCGCAUCCACGGCUCCGAAGCUGACUCCGCUCCAGCUGCUCCGGAGCCGGCUCCGCACCAACGACUCCAUACUCACGGCUCCGGAGCCGGUUUUUACAGAUUGCUCCAAAAAAAAUCAUUUUCAAUAAAGUUUCAAUCCGGAAGAUGCAUAAUUAGCUGAAUAAAUAAUGUUGAAAGGAAACUAUAGGAAUCUAUCUUUUAAAAAAUCGAUAAGUUUUGUUCAACAAUCACACAAUCACAAUGGGUGUUAGCUUCUACACUUGCGAGAAGAUAGAUUCGUUUUUUACGCUAUCAUACAAUGCCGUCUCUUUUGAAACGGUAGCCCAGAGCCGUUGGUCCUGAGCCGUUGAUUCACCGCCGGCUCCGGAACCAUUGAUUCGCCGCCGGCUCCGGGGCUGUUGGUGCGUAGCCGGCUCCGGAGCUGUUCGUGUGGAUCCGGCUCUGGAGCCGUGGGUGCGGAGCCGGCUUCAGAGCCAUUGGUGCGCUCCAAAACACCCUUUCCUAUUUGGCAGUAACACUAUAACAAAGGUAUGAAUGUGUGUGUUAACCCAAAUAACCAAAUCGUCCUUAACUCACUGCAAAACCACUUCAAACCCUCGUGGGUUUGUGGUGGUCGAUUCACCAAAUUUUAGAACAAUCGGAGCUGUCAGUUCCGAUCCGAUGUAUUUAUCUUGCCCACCCUAAACCCACCUUUUCCAAAAAUGUUUUGAAGAAAAGUUUGGUCAAGGUUGUAGUUUGGAUAGUUUAUAGAGGCUUUGGCUCCAACGAAGUUCUUUCGCCUCUUAAUGUUUAGUCAAGAGUUGGCUAAGGUCAAUAUGCUGGACAGGAUUUUAACUCCUCGGUUGAUUAAAUUCAUUCACUUAUAAUAUUGCUGAAGUUGAAGUGCAGUGAUUUUAGUCUAUAAACUAUGCACUGACCAGCGAAAUGGAAGAGUUCAUUCGCAAGUAAACAAACACAUAUAUACACAUAUUACACAUGUAUGUUUUACAACAAACCAACUUAAACACACACGUUUAAUUACUUCCUUUGCACAAUUAAAUAACAUUUUAACACAGGUGAAACAUGUUGAGCAAAUAAAUUGCCCGUGCAUAAAAAACUGACUUCAACAACAUUGAAGUGGCUGCUUCUGUGGCCGUGUGGCUUAACCCACCAAACUGAUAGUUUUUUUAGCUUUGUUUGAUGGAACUGGAUUUUUAGUACAAGAAAUUGGUGGCGUUUUCGGUAUGUUGGUUAUAUGGAUAACUUUCAGUCAAUUCUAUUUCGUUUGCUUGUAGUGGUUGGUAUAAGUUUAAAAGAGGCGAUUUCAUGCGGGGAACAUGCGGCAAGGCCGGUUGGGGUGUUGGAGUUACAGCACAUUUUUAUUGAAAAAAAUAUUGAUAGGAUUUUUAAAAUUCUAAUUUUACAACAAUAUUUUAUAAAACAUUAUUGUGACCCUGUAAGACAAUUUACAUUCAAAUCUAACCAGUAAUUCAAAAGAUAUACUCUUUUAACCACGAAAAACAUGAUUCUUCUUUACAAAAUGUAUGGCCUACCCGGGUAGGAGGUUGUACAUGUGAAGGGUAUAUUAACUUAAAUAAUUAAAAACAAUAUUUAAACAUUUUUGAUAUUUAUUAUUUUUGGCACAUGGGUAGAAAACAUCUUUUAUGAGGCAUUUUUAAAAUUUCAAGUCGAUACGAUUUUUUAGUCCAAAAAUAUUUUGGAAUAAAGAUGCGAAACUUACCAAGGUAGGCGGUUGUAAACAUGACGGUUAAAACUUUUAAAAUAAAAACUGAUUACUGGAAUAUUAGCUGCCCAUUUUGCCCUACGAAAAUCAUUUUUUAUAAUUUUUUUUAUAUUAUUUUAAGAAACACAUCUAAUGUCUCUGCUUUCAUCAGAUAAAUCAUAUAUAAAAACCAUUUAUUUAUGACAGUACCAUGACAUGACAGUACUUCAAAUGAUUUUAUCGAAAGGUCCCAAAUAACCAAGAUACCGAAAACGCCACCAAUUUCCUGUACUAAAAAUCCAGUUGUAUCGAACAAAGCCAAAAAACUGUCAGAUUGGUGGGUUAAACCACACAUCUCCAGAAGCAGCCACUUCAAUGUUUGUUAAAAUCAGUUUUUUUAUGCACGCGUAAUUCAUUUGCUCGACAUAUAUCACCCCAAAAUGUGUAAUUGUGUAAAGGAAGUAAUGAAACUUGUGUGUUUAAGUUCAUUUGUUGUGAAACAUGUUUGUGUAAGAUGUGGAUGCGUGUGUUUGUUUACUUGCAAAUGGACUCUUUCAUUUCGCUGGCCAGUGCAUAGUUUAUAGAUUUAUAAUAUUGCCGAAGUUAUGUUGUGAUGUAAGUGAAUGAGUUAAAGUAAUCAAUGUGUUAAAUUCGUGUUCGGCAUAUUGACCUUAGCUCGCACUUGCUCCAUCUUUUUAUCGUCAACAUGUUUGGAAAAGGUGGGCCAAGCGUGGGCAAGGUCAAUACAUCUUAUUAGAACUGACAGCUCCGAUUGUUCUAAAAUUUGGUGGGUUAACGACUGAAUCGACCACCACUAACCCUCGUGGGUUUGAAGUGGUUUUACAGUGGGUUAAGGCCGAUUUGGUUAUUUGGGGUCUGUCAACAUUUUGUAUGGGAUUUGAAAGAUAACGCCGGAUGUGCGGUUUCGUCGUUCGACGGAUUGUUUUGUGAUUCCGUUGAAUCAUCGCAUCCGAUUUUAUCUAUCAAUGUAAUUAUUUUAUGUUAUGUUAAUCAAUGUAAUUAUUUUAUGUUAUGUAUUUUAUUAUUUAUGUUUUAUUGAAACGAUCUGAAAAAAAUACCAUCGAAUUCCCAUGGUUAUACCAUAGAGUAAAAAUAAUUAAAUAAACAAAUAAUAAAAUAACCGAAAUGUCAAUCGAAAUAGCACUUGACCGCACGUACAAUAAAGGCCUUAUUAGACGGAGGAAAAUACAGUCAUUUCUCGUUGGGCAUUUAUCUGUCAAACUAAGACUUUGGCACAAAAAUACCUCUCGUACGUGUAAUAAGGCAAGAUAAUUGUUCUGUCACCUUUUAUAUUUAUUAUUUAAUUUAUUGAUUUUGUUUGGUUUCAUACGAAAGAAUCAUUCAUUGUUUCCCAUGUUUGUUGUUUUGAUUCAUCAUUAUCAGAUUAAGAUUCAGAUUAAGAAUCAGAUCAGAUUAAGAAAUUCAAUACGCUCAUACCGACAUUGACAGUAGAAAUCUACUCUCGAGCAAAUCGGAAUUGAGCAUGCUGAAUUCCGAUCUUCCGACUGGCAUCUAUCUGUCAAACCCUGUUUGAAGGAUAGAUUCCAAAAUCGAAUGACAGUACAGUCUGUUCCCGAGUUACGCGGUUUCUGCGUUCCCGACGAAUCCGCGUAACUCGAAUAUCCGCGUAAGUCGAAUUUCACGUUUUUUGACUAAAAUACUAUUUAUUACUCGCAGUUUUCGAUUUAAAUUAAUACUUUUAUACACUUUAUCAUCUAUGUGAUAUGAUUUGUGCAGAAAAUUAUAAUAUUUCUGGCUUUUAAGCUGUUUCAAUUUGUUAGCAAAAGUGCAAUUUACACCGAAGUUGAAGCAAAUUGUACUGAUUUGACAUUUAAUCUGUCAAAUUUAUAAAACCGCGUAUCUCCGAAUCCGCGUAAGUCGAGAACCGUGUAACUCGGGAACAGACUGUAUUUUCCUCCGUCUAAUAAGGCCUUAAAAUCUCAUCGGAUGACGGAUGACUGCCACAGACCAAAGGAUUCUUUUCGAAAUGGUCUCGAAAAUUAAAAAAAAAAAACAACAACAUUUUGUUGAUGUGUAUUUUCUUCAUAUAAAAAUGUAUUUUCUUGAUUUUUUUUAAUUGUGGGUUGUGAAACUUACAUGAUAAAGGCAAAAAUAACGUCUGAAACGAUCUUAAUACGAUUUUCAGUGUUGGAAUCUAUCCUUCAUAUUAAAAAAAAGUCAUAAAUAAAGGUUUCCCAUUUUGCCCCAUUUUCACAACUUUCUACGGUGUUCGACCAUUUUCCCGAUUUUAACGAACUCUGACUGCCGUUUUUUUUCUGGACCGGUUUGUGUCUGAAGUACGUAGGGUAAGUGUACCAGUUUUCGGCAGUGUACCUAUUUUCGGCACGGUAGCUAAAAACGUGAAAUUGCAGUGGUAAAAAAUUUCAUAAAACACAAUUUUGUAGUGAAAGUGUAAUUAUUUGAUAUUCACAUACGAAGUUUCACACCAUUUCAUUACGUAUUUUUCAAAAUAUCAAAUAAAUUGUGCUUUUUUUCGGCAGCUUUGCUGUCAGCCAAUGGUUCGGCAGGUUUUGUGAUUAAGAGAAUCAGAACAGUAAAACAAUGAAAAAGUGGUGUAUAUUAAAGAGUUUAUGCUUGUUUAAUUUAUUCUAACUAGUUCGGAAUUUUAAAAUCACGAUAAACAAGUUAUUUUUCAUUUUAAAUGCUGCCAAAAAUAGGUACACAGUAAAUGUUCAUUUUUGACAGCUCAAUGUUGUGUGCUCCUGCCGAAACUCGGAACAAUAACACAUCUUGGAUUUGGCUGAAUAUUUCUUUAAAAAUUUAUCAGAACACUACAAUGCGUAUGUCGACACAUAAUAUGACCUUUCUUGUACCAAAUAUCACCAAUUUUACGACAAACAAUGCACUAACUUAAGAGAAAAAUAAAUAUUUGUAAGCCAGUUCGCACCCUACGCUAUAACCAUCAAACUGUCAAUGGCUGCUCUGUUUAAACGUCGCACCAAAAUGGCUGUCAAAAUGGGCCAAAAUAAGCAACAUAAAAUUAUUAAUUAAAGUGCUUUUUAACAUCAGUAUUAGGAAAGUAAGAGUGUAAAACUGCUUUAAACAUUUUUUGUACAUAUUUACAUAGAUAGAACAUUUUCUGACCCGUAUUUGCGCUGCCGAAAAUAGGAACACAACCUGCCGAAAAUAGGAACAAACUGCCGAAAAUAGGAGCAAAAGCAAUGUUUGCAUUUUUACGAAUAUUUAUGAAAAAGAGCUUUGAACCGGCAAAUAAAAGAUAUUGUAACAUAUUAUGAUAGUUUAUCAAUCAGAAUAACAUCUCUUUCAUGAAAAAUAGUAAAAAAUGUUAAUUUGUGAGCAGUUUUUGUGAAACUGCUGCACUAGCGUGCCGAAAACUGGUACAGUUACCCUACGUGACACGAGGCGUGAACCUUGGCGAAAACUGGAUUUCAGCCAUACAACCAAGGUGGAAUAUAGAGGAGGUGUCUUCUUAGCGUUUGGCAUGUUGCCAUUUUGAGAUUCAGUUUGACAAUAGCCGUCGAUAUUUGUUUACAGGCAGCAGCUGAAUUAUAACGUGUAAAAUGCCGAUUUAUGGAGUGUGGAUGCAAAAUUUAUUUUUGCAAACGAAAACAAUUCAUUUAUCAUAUCCAAAUACGAGCAACAUUCGUCGCAUUUGACAACUGCCGUCGAUCCUGGUUUUGUGCUUUUUUCUAAAGAAAGAGGCGAACGAACUCCGCAGGAGCCAAAGCCUCUCUAAACCAUACUAACAACAACAACAACUUUUUUCUAAAGCCUCGAUGCCCAAUUGUUCUACAUGACGACACCUCCUUUCUACCCACUAUGCAUACAACCCUAUAAUCUUUUGACGGAAAUUUUACCCUCUCGCACACAAAUCAAGCGUAGCGGAAUUUGGGGCAAGUGUGCCAUACGGGGCAAGAGUGCCACCAAGCAUUUUUCCUUAAAAACUUAAGUUUAAUGAUCAACUGUGUAUACAGUUGGUUGCUUUCCAAUGACUAGGUAUACUGAGCCGAAUUUCAUAUAGAUCAAUCGAUAUUUCCCAUUGUUUUGAACUGAUUUGUGUUAAGUUUCAAAAUUGAGCAGAAUACUAUAAUUUUUUAAUUCAACCAAAUAAGCUCUCACAAAUCAUGCGAACAAUCAACCGAGAAAAUAUUUACACCACCGUAUAGCUGAGAAAACGUGAAAUUUUUUGUGGGGUUAGUUGAAAAAAAACUUUCUUUUUGUCACUGAAAAAUUCAAUUUCAAAAAAGUUACAACUUUUGGGGCAAGUGUGCCAUCUCUGUUUGGGGCAAGUGUGCCACCAUCUUUCAUAGGCGCGAGCUGUCAAAAAUGUAAACAUUGUUGCAGCGUGCUGCGGAAUCCCAAGCGAAAUUUUUCGGGGAUAAUGAACAUAAACUCAUGCCAUCUCUUUCUAUUCAUCAGCUCUACUCUCUCACACGCAUCGAUGAACUUUUACACAUCUCUUUGUUCAUUGUGCUAUAUUUGAAGGGUUUAAAACUGAUAGAUAACGAAUCAUGUUCAUGAACUAGUAGUGGUCAAAUGGUAGUGGUGUAAUGUUUGCACCAUGGUCGACAUGAGUUCAAUUCCAUUUUUAUUGUUUCCAUUGAUGAUUUUAAGUUUUGAUUUCUUUUUAAAACAUGCAGCUCCAGUAACUUCAGACCCCUUUACUCAUUGUUAGCAAUGCGUGUUUAAUAGUCAAUCUAUUAUUUUUAUUGUUUUAUUUAUUUCUUUUAGUUCAUUUAGUAUUAGUACCCCUGCAUACAACAAAACAAGCAAAUAGCACGAUCAUGAAUAAUAAUAUGGUGGCGCAACUGGCAAAGUGAUUCGAAGUAGAAUUAGCGAUGUGGUUGGUAGCAUCAAGGAUGAAGCAUGAGCAUGAAUUGGAAUAUGAGGGAAGGGAAUGAAUCCGAAUGUUCAUUUCUAUUUUUAGCUCUUUUUUGCAUGGGUUCAUCCUUCACGUGUGUUCACUAUCCCCGAAAAUGAUCUGUAUUUCGCUGGUCUUUUCGGGGAUAAUUCGUUAACGAAUUAUCCCCGAAAAGACCAGCGAAAACCAGCGUGGUCGGGAGCUUGGGAUGGUGCGCUAUUGUGAGCGGAUUCCACGCCAGAAAAACAGAACAGUAACAAACCAUAUUGUGGUACAGUUGGUGGUCAAAAAGGGUUCAUUGGUGACUAAAUACAUGUAGGAAUACAUACACUAGUGGUAAAAACGUAAUAAUUUCCAAUUAUCUAAGAAAUACGGUUAUUUUAACCAGGUGGCCGUCUUGCCCCAUACGAGUGGCACUCUUGCCCCAUAGCCCAAAAAACAACGUCUUUUUGGACCCUUUUUAAAACGCUUCAAAAACUGUUUUAUUUGCACUUUUUUCAAGCGAACCUCAUUUAUAAGUGAGGAAAUAGAUGUAAAAUGGUUAUGAGAUUUAAACCGGCUAUUGAAAAACACGUUUUAGUGAGUUAUAACUUGAAACGCUUAAGGUGGCACACUUGCCCCAAGUUCCGCUAAGCUUUUUGAGUUUACGCUCCGUGUGACGUUGGUAUGACGGGGUCGGCAGAAUUUGUUUUCAGAAUAAUCUGAACUCACUGGUUGAGCAUCGAUUGUGUGCCAACUAUUGAUUGGGUUAUUGCGAAGGGAAAGCUCGUUUACUGAAACGAUUUACAGGCCACUUAAAUUCUGCACUAUGCCGCCCGAUUCAUACUUCACAAGGCUCGAAUAGAAAUUAUAGUGCUCAAUUGAUGGUUUACGUCGCCCGAAAAAGUAUAUACGGCAACCGAUAACGCCUUGACGAUGCCGGAUUGGCUAGCGUUUCCAGUCCAAACAAAAACCAACUAUAUCCAUGUUUUAUGUUGUUUGAUGCAGUUUUCAUACUGUCAUUUGCCACAAUACGUUAUG
Molecule: long non-coding RNA, 7786 nt
Organism: Anopheles coluzzii
Lineage: Eukaryota; Metazoa; Arthropoda; Insecta; Diptera; Culicidae
Exons: 3
Source: RefSeq, a predicted model, not a curated record